UGUAAAAUUGAAAUUACCGACCUUUACGGGUUCAGAAAUCACAAUUGAGGACUUGGAUGUGUUAAUGAAAAUUUUUAGAACUAUUUGGGAAACUUAAUUGGAAAUCUAAUUUGUCUGAUUUGUUAAUGUGCGUUUGGGUGAUUAACUUGGCGCUGCAAAUUAAAGGCCUUAGAGGCUUCAAAAACCAGAAUAGGGGACAUAUUUAUGAUCAUCAUAAUUUUUAGAGUCAUCUGGAAAGUUUAAUUGAAAUUUAAUUUUUCGCGAUUCGUAAGGGCGUGUUUGGCCCUCCUUAUUUGUGAUAAAGCUUGUAUAAUUAAUAUAUAGGUGUGUAUGAGUUAUAUAAGUGGUGAACUCAUACUUUUGGAGUCAAAAAACAAAAUAUCUAAAGAGAGAGAGAGGAAACCGUGAAAGGGAGAGAGGGAAGAGUGUCAAUUUUCUCAACAUCCAUGGAGGCUUUGAAGAUGAAGGAAGAGAAUUGAAGGAAAGAAAGAAGAUCACCCAUGGGACUUGGAGGAAUUGAAGAGAGCUAAGAGGUAGACAAAGAUUGAGUUAGGCACUCCACCUGGAGGUCAGUUUUAACCCAUGGCAUCCGUGCCUCUUUUGUCAACCUCAGAGUAUCCAGGCACUUAAGUGAAGGCAGCCUUUUUGCUAAACUUUUGAUUUUACACUCUGAUUGUUUGCUUAAGGUUGAUGUAUAUAUAAUUCCUUUGCCUGUCCAUGUUGUUUUACGCCCAAUUCUAAGGGCUGGGUCUGUAUAUAUAUAUGUACAUAACUAACUCUCUGGUGCACGUCACUGUAUGUUUAUUUGCCUUAUGUUCUGUCUGUGAUCCUGGCAUGAUA
This is a non-coding RNA of Camellia sinensis, 840 nucleotides long. NCBI's taxonomy places the organism in Eukaryota, Viridiplantae, Streptophyta, Magnoliopsida, Ericales, Theaceae. The record is from RefSeq and is a predicted model, not a curated record.